Molecule: ribosomal RNA, 505 nt
Filed under: uncultured bacterium
Lineage: Bacteria
Description: partial 16S ribosomal RNA
Rfam family: Bacterial small subunit ribosomal RNA
Source: RNAcentral
GAUGAACGCUGGCGGCGUGCCUAAUACAUGCAAGUCGAGCGCGACUGAUUACACCGUUCUUCGGAACACCGUAAUCAUCGAGCGGCGGACGGGUGAGUAACACGUGGGCAACCUACCCUUAAGACUGGGAUAACCGCGGGAAACCGUGGCUAAUACCGGAUAAUACUUUUAUACAACGGUAUAGAAGUUGACAGGUGGAUUUCUAUCACUUAAGGAUGGGCCUGCGGCGCAUUCGCUGGUUGGUGAGGUAACGGCUUACCAAGGCGACGAUGCGUAGCCGACCUGAGAGGGUGAUCGGCCACACUGGAACGGAGACACGGUCCAGACUCCUACGGGAGGCAGCAGUAGGGAAUCUUCCGCAAUGGGCGAAAGCCUGACGGAGCAACGCCGCGUGUGCGAAGAAGGUCUUCGGAUCGUAAAGCACUGUUGUUAAGGAAGAACGACAGUAAGAGUAACUGUUUACUGUGUGACGGUACUUAACCAGAAAGCCACGGCUAACUACGUG